This 2169-nucleotide ribosomal RNA is filed under the name Triticum aestivum (bread wheat). RNAcentral's name for it is "partial small subunit ribosomal RNA". The record is from RNAcentral. Lineage: Eukaryota; Viridiplantae; Streptophyta; Magnoliopsida; Poales; Poaceae.
AUGGAAACCCUAAUGGUGGACCGCGUCCACAGCAGCCUCCGCCUCUUCAUGAACCGCAACGCCGUCUUCCUCUGUGAGCGCCUCNNNNNNNNNNNNNNNNNNNAGACCAAUGUGCAAUUGCUAGCGACUUGCUACCUUCACAACAACCAGCCCUAUGCUUCAUACCACAUUUUGAAAGGUAAGAAGCUGCCGGAGUCUCGAUACUUGUUUGCUAUAUCAUGCUUUCGAAUGAACCUACUGCGGGAAGCUGAAGAAACUCUGUGUCCAGUCAAUGAACCAAAUGUUGAGGUUCCGAGUGGUGCGACAGGACAUUACCUUCUUGGACUAAUUUACAGGUACACUGACAGAGUGGCAGCUGCAGCCGAGCAAUUUACACAAGCUUUGACUCUAGAUCCUCUUUUGUGGGCGGCAUAUGAGGAAAUGUGCAUACUAGGAGUUGCUGAAGAUGCAAAUGAAUGUUUUACCGAAGCAACUGCUCUACGUCUCCAGCAGGAACAAACAUCUACAUCAAAUCUGGAGAAGUCAAACUUUGUCAAUGAAAAUCGAGUUCUAUCUCCUAAUGUAUCAGCAAGCCUUGUGGAUAUCAGCCCUAAGCACAUAAAACAAUUGCCUGCUAACAACAUAGCUGAAGUGCCUGGUUAUCCUCAUCUAAGAGCAACCGCAUUACAUGUGCAGAACAGUCUACCAUCUAAUGCAGGACAGUUUGACAGUCCAUCACCAACUGUAACACAGACUUCUGGCAUCGUUCCACCACCACUCUUUAGGAAUCUCCAUGCCUAUCAGAAUACAACAAGUGGUGAUGCUCCGGCCAAACCAAAGGUUAAUGCAGUGAACCAACCACCUAGAAGAAAAUACUUGGAUGAAGCAAGGCUGAAGAAGGUCACUGGAAGGCUCUUUAAUCCGAGUGGUGAUUCAGUACCUCGAAGAAGUGCAAGACUAUCUAGGGAUACACCAAUAAAUUCGAAUUCCAAUAUAUCUCAGUUUGGAGGAAAUGGAUCAGAUCACUCGUCAGGAAGCAGGUAUGAAGCUGUUGAUGAGAUGUGGACAGAUAAUAUAGCAGCAACUUCAUCUUCUUUAAGUAUAGCUGAGGGAAGGUACUUUGAGCAAGAUAAAGCUGAGCGAACCCUGUCACAAGACACCAAAAUGGCGACUGGUAUCAGGGAGCUAUUGGGACUACUACGGACACUUGGGGAAGGCUAUAGGCUAUCUUGCUUGUUUAAGUGCCAGGAAGCAUUGGAAAUGUACAGAAAACUCCCAGAGCCACAAUUUAAUACGGGAUGGGUCUUAUGCCAGGUUGGGAAGGCAUAUUUUGAAUUGGUGGAUUAUUUAGAAGCUGAUCAUUUCUUUGAGUUAGCGCAUCGAUUAUCACCAUGCACGUUGGAGGGAAUGGACAUAUACUCUACUGUUCUUUAUCAUUUGAAUGAGGAAAUGAGGCUAAGUUACCUUGCUCAGGAGCUUAUUUCUGUUGAUCGACUAUCUCCUCAAGCAUGGUGUGCAGUGGGAAAUUGCUUUGCCUUGCGGAAAGAUCAUGAGACUGCUUUGAAGAACUUCCAGCGUGCUGUACAGCUUGACUCAAGAGUAGCAUAUGCUCACACUCUAUGCGGUCACGAAUAUUCUGCAUUGGAGGAUUAUGAGAACAGUGUUAAAUUCUACCGAUGUGCGCUUCAGGUAGAUGAAAGGCAUUACAAUGCCUGGUAUGGGCUUGGAGUAGUUUACCUUCGCCAGGAAAAGUUUGAGUUUGCCGAGCAUCAUUUUAGAAGGGCAUUUCAGAUAAAUCCCCGCUCUUCUGUUCUUAUGUGCUAUCUUGGGAUGGCCUUACAUGCUCUAAAGAGAGAUGAGGAUGCAUUGGAGAUGAUGGAGAAAGCCAUAUUUUCUGAUAAGAAGAAUCCACUUCCUAAGUAUCAGAAGGCUUUAAUUCUGGUAGGCCUUCAAAAAUAUCAGGAGGCUCUGGAUGAGUUGGAACGGUUAAGGGAGAUUGCACCUCAUGAGAGUAGUAUGUAUGCACUUAUGGGCAAGAUAUACAAGCAACUCAAUAUUCUCGACAAGGCUGUAUUUUGCUUUGGCGUUGCCCUUGAUUUGAAACCUCCUGCUGCCGACCUUGCUAUAAUCAAGUCUGCGAUGGAGAAAGUACACCUUCCAGAUGAACUGAUGGAGGAUGAUGACCUGUAA